Molecule: long non-coding RNA, 1539 nt
Organism: Daphnia magna
Lineage: Eukaryota; Metazoa; Arthropoda; Branchiopoda; Diplostraca; Daphniidae
Exons: 7
Source: RefSeq, a predicted model, not a curated record
AGCGGGGAAUCCUGGAACCACUUGGUAAACACCCGCCGUUUUCCCCUACAGAGAGUGAUACGGCGAUCGUGUACCUUGCUAUUAUAUCGACAUGAAGAGUAUUGUGCAUCCUUGUAUUACAUGAGCUAGAUCAGAUUCCAGAAUAAGAAGUGGAGUCUUUACACAGUAAUAUGUCCCUGCUUCUUGGAACAAGGAACAUAGGAUGUCUUCUGUCUUGAUGCCAACCAAGUGUCAUUGGAAAGAUUCAGGAAAAACCUAAAGGUGGAGGAAGAUACAUUUGUUUCUCGUUUCUAGUUUGGUACAUUGGUAAAAGGAAACGACAUAUGACCUAUUACUUCAGAUCAAUUAUUUUCACAAGUGGAGAUUGAUUCCGCAAUCUUCCACUUCUCAGGCAGACUCCCAUCCAGAAAGCCAGGGAUUGCAGAGUCAGAGAACAAUGUGUGGAAUCUGAUAUUCAAGCCCUUGAAACCCCAGCUGCCCUUCUGCUUCAACAAGGAUAUAAAGCAAUUCUAAUUUCAGGAGGUAAACAUUGAAACCAAAAACAAAUCGGGAAUUUUUUUGUUGGAUUUUUUGUUUAAUGUUAUUGUUAAACCUAACGUGUGAAAACAUGGAAGUGUUUACAUAUGUUUAGGGUCAAGUUUCUGAAAUGGUUGAGUCAAAUAUAAAUUUUACAUUACUUUUGAACAGGUCCCAGUGGGGCAUCCCAGUUUACGCAGCGGAUGCCCCACUAUACUUCCCAGCAAUCUUUACUGGCCGUCUUCCAGUGCCGGGAAUUUGUUAUGCAUGCAAUUAAUCAACAAUGCAUUAGGUGGAACGGUGGAGAGAAAAGAUGUUAGCGAAGAUGGGUAAUUCAAGAACCAAGUAGAAACGGAGUGCCCAUUGUUUAAAGGCUUAGAGACUCUGCAAAUGGUAUUGCUGAUCCAUGAUGACAGCGUAGACAAGAUUGCAGAAGGGUUGCGUUGCGUCGCAAAAUGUUCGCGUCAUAUUAUUUCCGCUAUUGCUGAUACUGAACGCCGUCUUUACGGAGUCAAGUUCCAUGAUUUGAUUGAAAACGGACGAAAAAUGUUGCAUAACUUCUUGUUCGACAUCUGUGGAUUGCAAGAAGGUUUCACAUCGAUCUUCAAAGGUAAAUCAGAAGAGGGUAUUCUUUUCCUUGACAAGAAUUGUGGAAUCUGAUGGAAAUCAAAUAUCGAAGAUGGAUGAGGUGAAGGAAAUACCGGUUGCUUCUGUGUCUUAAAAUUCUGCUCCCAUUUGUGCUUCUGGUUGCUAUAACAUUGAACGUUUUUGCUCUGCCCAGUUGCCGUGAAAUGCCCAAAGUUUCAUCGUGGAUGAACGUAAUCUCUAAACUUAAGAAAGUAGUAUUUUUUUUAUUGUGUCUCUUCAGAUUUCGUUCUAGUUUGCAUAUUGUCACGGUUAUUUGAGGCCCCAUGGACUAGUUGUCACGUCCGGCGCUUCUGUAUCGGCUAUUGACCGCAACUCUACCCGAGAUGUCCGGCAGUCUUGUCAGCAGAUAUUUCUCCCGGUAGCUGCUGUCUACGU